RNAcentral lists this long non-coding RNA (681 nucleotides) under Equus caballus (horse). RNAcentral describes it as "lncRNA (ENSECAG00000051400.1)". Lineage: Eukaryota; Metazoa; Chordata; Mammalia; Perissodactyla; Equidae. The record is from RNAcentral.
GCACAAUCCAAACUUGUUUCUAGAAUAGUGAGGCGGCGAAACCCUCCCUGGCUGCCCAUCUCCCAGCUCACGGCUGAAGUGACCUCAGUGGAUUCAUGGAGGAGCCUCCAGCAAGAAUAGAAGCUUCUUGGGCUCAGGAGCCUCAGCCUGAUGCGCUGCUCUGACCACUGCCUCUGGAACGUCAGGUGCUUAGUGAAUAUUUGCUGCAUGAAGACGGGUCUGCUGUGAAGAAUGAGCUUGGGGGAAGGAGUAGAAAAGGAAAGGAGCAUGAGGAGGACUGGGACAUCACCUGAAGGAGAGCACGCUGGGCGCCCUCCAGUACAUAGCUGUAUAUACUUUUUAGUUGUGGGUCCUUCUAGCUGUGGUACGUGGGACGCCGCCUCAGCAUGGCCAGACAAGAUGCGCUGUGUCCACACCCAGGAUUCGAACUGGCAAAACCCUGGGCUGCCAAAGCAGAGCACACGAACUUAACCACUCGGCCACGGGGCCGGCCCCAGUUGGUAUCAUUUUGCUGAAACAAAAUCACUCUUCACACAAGAAUAUAGUACAGCUGGCCCCUGCCUGGCAUGUCCCGGCCACGGCUGUAAAAGGUCAGUUUUUCUGCUGCUUUUCUCGUUCAGACUUUAUCUUUAUGUGAACAGGCCAAGGCACAAGGUCCGUUGAUGCUGAGCCUUCACUGGA